AGCCAUGCAUGUGUAAGUACGAGCAAGUUAAUGCUCUAGCCGCGGACGGCUCAUUAAAUCAGCUAUGAUUUGUUGGUUCUGUACACCCAGUUUAUUUGGAUAACUGUGGUAAUUCUAGAGCUAAUACAUGAUUCCUAGAGUCCCUAACUUGUGUAUUAAAUUACAGAGGAAGGGUGCUUUUACUAUUGAAACCAAACUUGGUGUUGUAAUAUCAUGCUUCGGUGUGUUUUACAAUAAAUCCCAUAUAUGAUGACUCAGAAUAAUUUCUGGCUGAGCGCAUGGCCUCUGUGCUAGCGCUGUUUCUUUCAAGUGUCUGCCUUAUCAGCUUUCGAUUGUAAGUUAUGUGCUUACAAUGGCUAUAACGGGUAACGGGGAAUCAGGGUUCGAUUCCGGAGAGGGAGCCUGAGAAACGGCUACCAGUUCUAAGGAAGGCAGCAGGCACGCAAAUUACCCACUCCCAGCACGGGGAGGUAGUGACGAAAAAUAACGAUGCAAGACUCAUCCGAGGCUUUGCAAUCGGAAUGAGAACACUUUAAAUCCUUUAUCUAGGAUCCAUUGGAGGGCAAGUCUGGUGCCAGCAGCCGCGGUAAUUCCAGCUCCAAUAGCAUAUAUUAAAGUUGUUGCGGUUAAAAAGCUCGUAGUUGGGUCUGUACAUGAGCUAUGACCUCUAGUCGGCACAUUGUGUUUGACUAUAAACAAAGACUCAUCCCAAUCUACUCACUGUUACAGUGGGUUUAGCCAAUUUAACACGGUAAUGCUCUUUACUGAGUAUACCGAGUGGUUGGCAUGUUUACUUUGAAUAAAUUAGAGUGCUUAAAACAGGCAAACAUGAAGCCUGAAUAGACAUGCAUGGAAUAAUAGAACAAGACCUCGAUUCUAUUGUUUUCUUUACACCGGGUUUGAAAGAACCGAGGUAAUGAUUAAAAGAGACUGCCGGGGGCAUCUGUACUGCGGCGCUAGAGGUGAAAUUCUUGGACCGUCGCAUGACAAACAACAGCGAAAGCAUUUGCCAAGAAUGUCUUCAUUAAUCAAGAACGAAAGUUAGAGGUUCGAAGGCGAUCAGAUACCGCCCUAGUUCUAACCAUAAACGAUGCUAACCAGCAAUCCGCCAGUGUUAUACCAAUGACCUGUGCGGGCAACUUCCGGGAAACCAAAGUUUUUGAGUUCCGGGGGAAGUAUGGUUGCAAAUCUGAAACUUAAAGGAAUUGACGGAAGGGCACCACCAGGAGUGGAGCCUGCGGCUUAAUUUGACUCAACACGGGAAAACUCACCAGGCCCGGACACUGGAAGGAUUGACAGAUUGAGAGCUCUUUCUCGAUUCAGUGGUUGGUGGUGCAUGGCCGUUCUUAGUUGGUGGAGCGAUUUGUCUGGUUAAUUCCGAUAACGAACGAGACUCUGGCCUAUUAACUAGUCGAUGGAUCA
This 1422-nucleotide ribosomal RNA is filed under the name Galathea squamifera. RNAcentral's name for it is "SSU rRNA". It matches the Rfam family "Eukaryotic small subunit ribosomal RNA", at positions 47 to 1369 of the family's 1831-position model. The record is from RNAcentral. Lineage: Eukaryota; Metazoa; Arthropoda; Malacostraca; Decapoda; Galatheidae.